GCCGUCACCGCCACAGCGUCUGGCUGCACUUCCUUGCCAUACCUCAAACAAAUUGCGUAAUUAUACACCCAUCCAAUCCUUCAACCGUAAGGAUUUUUCCAUUCGAUGUGAAUUCGAGAAUAGUCAAAGGUGGACGGUUGGUUGUGUUUCGGGCACUGAUCCAAUUCAUAUUAUUCUAAAACCUCCUUCCAUUCCAAUGACUUCAGCUGCUGUUUUAGGUUCAUCUGGGAAGAAUUCUAAGAGAGUUUGCUUAUUCUAUUGCAAUGAAAUGAAGGACCUUGCGGAGAGAAUCGCUUCCCAAUCCGACGCCAUUGAGCUUCGUAACAUCACUUGGAGGACUUUUGAAGAUGGAUUCCCCAACUUAUUCAUAUCUAACGCUCAUGGCAUCCGUGGACAGCAUGUAGCUUUCCUUGCUUCUUUUAAUUCUCCUGGAGUAAUUUUUGAGCAAUUAUCCGUCAUUUAUGCAUUGCCAAAGCUCUUUGUUUCCUCAUUCACACUUGUUCUUCCAUUUUUCCCGACGGGCACAUCUGAGCGUAUGGAGGAUGAAGGUGAUGUUGCCACAGCUUUUACACUUGCCAGGAUUUUGUCGAACACCCCAGUUCCUCGAGGAGGACCAACUAGUUUAGUUAUAUUUGAUAUCCAUGCAUUGCAGGAGAGAUUCUACUUCGGAGACAAUAUACUACCAUGCUUUGAGAGCGGGAUCCCAUUGCUUCUAAAUAGGCUACAACAACUCCCUGACUCUGACAAUAUAUCUAUAGCUUUUCCUGAUGAUGGUGCAUGGAAACGUUUUCACAAGCAGCUUCAGCAUUUUCCUAUGAUUGUCUGUGCUAAAGUUAGGGAAGGUGAUCAACGAAUUGUACGGAUUAAGGAGGGAGACCCUGCAGGACGUCAUGUUGUGAUAGUGGAUGAUCUUGUACAAUCAGGUGGCACCCUAACAGAAUGCCAGAAAGUGUUGGCUAAACAUGGAGCUCAAAAGAUAAGUGCUUAUGUAACCCACGGAAUAUUUCCAAACAGAUCAUGGCAGCGUUUUAGUCAUGACAAAGGAGGUAGUCCUGAGAAUGGAAUGACUUACUUCUGGAUCACAGAUUCAUGCCCUCAAACUGUGAAGGAGGUGAAAGACAAAAAAACCAUUUGAGGUUCUGAGCCUUGCCGCUCCCAUAGCAGCUGCACUUCAGAUUUAAUUGCAGAUUCUGUAUAUUGCCUGCAAUGUCUUUGGAUUCAAAAUCUAUAGAGAAAGCUAGAGAAGCCAGAGCUUCCUGCUAGCAUUAUUGAGAUGAGUAGAUUGAUGUCGAUAGUAUUUU
This 1301-nucleotide unclassified non-coding RNA is filed under the name Hevea brasiliensis (rubber tree). Lineage: Eukaryota; Viridiplantae; Streptophyta; Magnoliopsida; Malpighiales; Euphorbiaceae. The record is from RNAcentral.